AAAAGGGAAAUUGCCAAAAAUACUUUUUUCAAAGUACCAUUUUUCAUGUUAACACUAACUACUUUUACCCUCAUCUUUAAUGAAUGGUAAAAGACAUUUAUAAUAUUUUGAUUACCUUUGACAAAAAAAAACAUAUGGCUAACUAAUCUAAACUUAAAACAUCAACUCUAAACCCUAAACCAUGAAACAUCAACUCUAAACCCUAAACCCCGAAACAUCAACUCUAAACCCUAAACGUAAACCCUAAACCCUAAAUCUAAACUUAAAACCUCAACUUUAAACCCUAAAUCAUCAACUCUAAACCCUAAACCCUGAAACAUCAACUCUAAACCCUAAACCCUAAACCUUCAAAUCAAAAUCCUAAAACAUCAACUCUAAACCCUAAACGUAAACCCUAAACCCUAAACCUUAUAUUUUUCUGAAUUUCAAACCCUAAACCCUAAACCUUCAAAUCUAAACCCUAAAACAUCAACUCUAAACUCUAAACGUAAACC
RNAcentral lists this long non-coding RNA (494 nucleotides) under Brassica napus (rape). Its description in RNAcentral is "long non-coding RNA (BNAP_LNC012051)". Lineage: Eukaryota; Viridiplantae; Streptophyta; Magnoliopsida; Brassicales; Brassicaceae. The record is from RNAcentral.